Molecule: ribosomal RNA, 639 nt
Filed under: fungal endophyte
Lineage: Eukaryota; Fungi
Description: eukaryotic LSU rRNA
Rfam family: 5.8S ribosomal RNA (bases 191-344)
Source: RNAcentral
CGGAGGGAUCAUUAAAGAGUUCUAUAACUCCCAAACCCAUGUGAACAUACCUAACGUUGCCUCGGCAGGUCGCACCUACCUUGUAGCACCCUACCCUGUAGGGCCUACCCGGGAGGUGCGGGUAAGCCUGCCGGCGGCCCACCAAACUCUGUUUGAUAUUGAAUUCUGAACCUAUAACUAAAUAAGUUAAAACUUUCAACAACGGAUCUCUUGGUUCUGGCAUCGAUGAAGAACGCAGCGAAAUGCGAUAAGUAAUGUGAAUUGCAGAAUUCAGUGAAUCAUCGAAUCUUUGAACGCAUAUUGCGCCCAUUAGUAUUCUAGUGGGCAGGACCGUUCGAGCGUCAUUUCAACCCUUAAGCCUUCGUUGCUUAGUGUUGGGAGCCUACGGCAACGUAGCUCCUCAAAGUUAGUGGCGGAGUUGGUUCACACUCUAGACGUAGUAAUUUUUUAUCUCGCCUAUUAGUUGGACUAAUCCCCUGCCGUAAAACCCCCAAUUUAUCAAGGUUGACCUCGAAUCGGUUCAGACAAACUCGCUAAAUUGAAGCAUCUUAGUCAGCGAAGGAAAAGAAACCAACAGGGAUUGCCCUAGUAACGGCGAGUGAAGCGGCAACAGCUCAAAUUUGAAAUCUGGCCCUCGGG